AUUUCCCUACGGGGGGCAGCAGUGGGGAAUAUUGCACAAUGGGGGAAACCCUGAUGCAGCAACGCCGCGUGAGUGAUGACGGCCUUCGGGUUGUAAAGCUCUGUCUUCAGGGACGAUAAUGACGGUACCUGAGGAGGAAGCCACGGCUAACUACGUGCCAGCAGCCGCGGUCAUACGUAGGUGGCGAGCGUUGUCCGGAUUUACUGGGCGUAAAGGGAGCGUAGGCGGGCUUUUAAGUGAUAUGU
RNAcentral lists this ribosomal RNA (245 nucleotides) under uncultured bacterium. RNAcentral describes it as "partial 16S ribosomal RNA". It matches the Rfam family "Bacterial small subunit ribosomal RNA", at positions 333 to 595 of the family's 1533-position model. The record is from RNAcentral.